AUCAAUUGUCGAAUUAAAAAGCAUAAUCCAUCUCCUUCAUCUUGGUUUUCUUCACUUGAACCUUAGCCUCAGCACGGUCUGCACGUUGAGUCGCCUUCAUCCACGCAUCCUCUGUUCUUACACGCUUACCUGACUCCUCCUUGAAAUCAUCUUUCAAUUUCUCCAUGUCUGUAGCAUCCCCGAAUCCGGGUCCCAAAUCACCACGGAUCCGAUAUACUAUUUCAAUCACUAUUGCGGAAGAUAUAAACAUAAAUUGUUUAUACAUUAAACUUUUACACAUCAUUCCCCAAGGUCUACAACCUUAACUUAAUACAUACCUUCAAUAUCUUAGAAGAUUUACAAUACUAUUUUCAUCAGAAAAUUUAAUAAAUUUAACUACAACAUAAAGAAACUUUGCACUUUGUCUUUGCCUCUGUCCUUAUUCAAGCCUUCAUCUUAAUCUGAAAAUUUUAUCAUGAUAUAGCAAGGGUGAGCAACAAAUUUGCCCAGCAAGUUUUACAUACAAAGGAGAUAUAUCAUGAUUGAAAAGAAUGGAUAAGCUUUCAAGUUUUCAACAAUAUAAUAAUUGUGAAAUAACAUGAAUCAAUUUUUCAACGAUUGAAUGACUGAACCAAUAAUAAUGGAUGUCAACAAUUAACAUGAACAAGUUUAACUGAAACAUAUGGUAAUGAAGGUGAUCAGCCUUUCAUACCUGAUGAACAUAUACAACAUGCACAAUGUGCGAAUCAAUAAUUUAUUGACGUGGUAAAAUCAACAAUGAUUAACCACUAACAUGCUUUGAAUUAACAACUCAAGUUGAGUUAGGAAACUUGCACAAUAAUUAGAAGUUCAAGUUUAGGAACUUGCCUGUACCGUUGAUUACCGCUAAGCAAUCAAUUUAAUCUCUUAUAAAAGACCUAUCAUUAAUAAGAUCGAUCCUCCAAUUAGCAUAAUACAUUUUAUCCCACAACACUAUUACUCAAAUAAUAAAUUAGCUAACAUUUAGCCACAUAAUUAAACAUUAAAUAAUUCUUUAACUCAUUAGUAAUAUUAUUAUCCCUUAAUAAUAUUACUAUCACUUAUCCAUUAUCUUAAACUUUUGCCUAAUAUUCUUUUUAUAGAAUAUUUAUCAUUUACAAAUAUUAUUAAUCAUUUAAUAAUAUUUAAAUCCUUUACUAAUAUUAUUAAUCAUUUAAUAAUAUUGUAAUCACCUUCUAAUAUUAUUAAUCAUGUAAUAAUAUUUUACUUGUUUCAUAAAUAAUAAAGGUCUCACACAUUUUAAGAUGCAAAUACUUUACAUCUUGAAACUUAAACCAUUUAAAUUUCAUUUCAGAAAUAUCUUUUACCUCUACUCGCAAAUUCGGAGUUUAAACAGCUAAUGUAUAGCUUUUAUAGUAAAAAUCAAUUUACUAUAUUAUUUCUUCACUUUAAAUAACUUUUACUUCAGUUUGUCCGUUCAUGAGUCAACACUGACUAUUGCCUCAUAUAUAAACAUUUUAUCUCACUAGCACAUUCGCUUUAUUUUUCAUUUUACGAUUAUUCGCAUUUUUGCUUCGUUACGUAAAUCUCAGCUCAAAAACUUCAUUUUGAGCACCGAAAACCUCAAAAUAUCAUUUUUAUGAUUAAUACAAUAUUUCAAAGGUUUUACAUUCUUUGUUCCACCACAAAAUAAUUUUUAUAGGCAACUAUAUAUAUAUAUAUAUAUAUUUCUCGCUUAAAUAUGUAAUUUAUAUUUAUUACAUAUUUUUAUUGCUUUAUUUAUGCCUGAAAGAAAGUUUCUCGGCAUAAAAUAUUACUUAUAGUCAAAUUUCGCACCAUAAGACUUUAUUAGAUUAUUAUGACUUAUUAUUUCUCUAUCAUAUGCCCAAACACAUAAUAUACUUCAUUGAAUAUCAAUUUCAACAAUUACAUUGAAAAAUAUCAUAAAUCUCUUAUUAAAUCUCCCGUCAAAUAUUAUUAAUUAUGCAAUAAUAUUUUACGCUAAGGUUAUCAACCUUUUAAUUACAUUCCAAUCAAAUACUACUAAUAAUAUCUCACUACAAUACUAUUAGUCAUAUAAAAAAAAAAUUUUAAGUCAUUAAUCACAUAAAUAAACAAUUAUUUCAAUUGUUUUCCUUACCGUAAUUAAUAAACUUGUUUAAACAUUUUAAAAUGUCAUAAACAUCACAACACCUUAAACCCGACCCAAAACUUCAUUACAAACUUGCAUAAGCCAUGCUCACGGGUCUCACUUCAUACAUCGCAUUUUUCCUAUUUUUGGACACUUUUGAUUUUCGAAAUAUUUUACCCAGCCUCACAAGCCAUAACUCUCGCGUUUUAAAACAUUUUUGAGCGAUUCUUGAGCCCACGCGAAGAUAACUUCCAGGGCUACAACUUUUGUCUCACGACAUUUUUCCAAAAUCAUAACACAUCAGUCCAGAAAUUUACACAAAGGUUUCGGAAUUUGAUUAACAGUUUUGAUACACAUCUCCCGAACGCCAUAACUACCUCAUCCGGAAUCGGAAUUAGUCCGUUCCGGAGUCUAUGGAAAGCUAAAACAGAGUACUACAACAUAUCAAAAGCUCAGAAGUUUUAAAGCGUAAAAAACUGGACGAAAUUGCCCCCGUUUUUGACUGCCACGAAUCUGUCCAUUAAAACCGGGACUGUUUUGGCUAAAACAGUAACUACGCCAUGAAAACUCAACAUUUUUGAGUCCUACCACUUGGGUUAACUACUACACACAUAUAUCUAACACCCCUCUUUGACGGAUCACAAAAAAAAUUAUAGAUUUAAAACGGUGGAUUUUCAAAGUACAUAGAAAUUUUGGUUUCAAAACUAGAAAAAUUUAUAUUUUCUCUUCUUCUUUUGGUCUUCAACCAAAUCAACACCCAUCAUGGGUGGAUCCAUACAUAAAUCCAUGGAAAACACAUAGAUCUUAGGGUUUUAUACACCCAAAUCAAAAACUCCUUUCAUAAAAAUUCCAUAGAAAAAAAAAAAUUAGAGAGAGAGAGAAGUUAUACCCUUUGCUUUUCUUCUCCUUCUUCCAUGGUGAUUUCUCCUCCUCUUUGACACUCAAGGGGCUGCCGCCCCUCUCUUCUUCUCCCAUGGUUGUCGAUCUUCUGCUCUUUCUCUCUCUAUUCCUCUUUCCCGUUCUCUUUCUUUUCUUUCUUAUCCUUUUUAUUCUAAUUUCUUCUUAUCCCCCUUCUUUCUUUAAUAAAGAUCCGGCCAAGUGGCCUUAUCACUAACAUGUUGGCUUAAUUUCUUU
Molecule: long non-coding RNA, 3223 nt
Filed under: Panax ginseng (ginseng)
Lineage: Eukaryota; Viridiplantae; Streptophyta; Magnoliopsida; Apiales; Araliaceae
Description: long non-coding RNA (PGIN_LNC010338)
Source: RNAcentral